UCCAAAGGUGAUUCCACCACCAAUCCCUAUUUACAAACCAAAACCCCCAAUUCCGAAAGUGCUUCCACCACCAAUUCCCAUCUACAAACUAAAACCCCCAAUCCCGAAAUUGCUUCCACCAAUUCCCAUCUACAAACCAAAACCACCAAUCCCGAAGGUGCUUCCACCACCGAUUCCCAUCUACAAACCAAAACCCCCAAUCCCGAAGGUGCUUCCACCAAUUCCCAUCUACAAACCCAAACCCCCAAUCCCAAAGGUGCUUCCACCACCAGUUCCCAUCUACAAACCAAAACCCCCAAUCCCAAAAUUGCUUCCACCAAUUCCCAUCUACAAACCAAAACCCCCAAUCCCGAAAUUGCUUCCACCAAUUCCCAUCUACAAACCAAAACCACCAAUCCCGAAGGUGCUUCCACCACCGAUUCCCAUCUACAAACCAAAACCCCCAAUCCCAAAAGUGCUUCCACCACCAAUUCCCAUCUACAAACCAAAACCCCCAAUCUCGAAAGUUCUUCCCCCACCAAUUCCCAUCUUUAAACCAAAACCUCCAAUCCCAAAAGUACUUCCACCACUAGUUCCGACUUACAAACCAAAACCUCCAAUCCCAAAAGUGCUUCCACCAUUAAUACCUAUCUACAAACCAAAGCCACCAAUCUUUAAGCUACUGCCGCCACUUCCAAAGAUCCCACCAUUCCCCAAGAAGCCAUGCCCACCUUUACCAAAGCUUCCUCCGCUCCCCAAGAU
RNAcentral lists this long non-coding RNA (741 nucleotides) under Citrus sinensis (sweet orange). RNAcentral's name for it is "long non-coding RNA (CSIN_LNC003416)". Lineage: Eukaryota; Viridiplantae; Streptophyta; Magnoliopsida; Sapindales; Rutaceae. The record is from RNAcentral.